This 175-nucleotide ribosomal RNA is filed under the name Trichoderma asperellum. RNAcentral's name for it is "partial 18S ribosomal RNA". The record is from RNAcentral. Lineage: Eukaryota; Fungi; Ascomycota; Sordariomycetes; Hypocreales; Hypocreaceae.
CUUAGAAAAUACUUCCGCAGAGAUUACAGAAAGAGUUUGUUGUUCCUCCGGCGGCGCCGGUUUCGGGGGUGGACGCACCCGGGGUGACCCGCCGAGGCAACAGUUGGUAAACUUCACAUUGUUUGGAGUUUAAACUCCGUAAUUUUUCGUAGGUGAACCUGCGGAGGGAUCAUUA